ACCUACACGGCGGCCAUUAUCAAAGACAUAUUACAGUUACAGUAACUGUAAUAUGUCUUUGAUAAUGGCCGCCGUGUAGGU
Molecule: non-coding RNA, 81 nt
Organism: Paramuricea clavata
Lineage: Eukaryota; Metazoa; Cnidaria; Anthozoa; Malacalcyonacea; Plexauridae
Source: the annotation of a GenBank genome assembly